GGCUGAUGGGCUCCUCGCGAUGUUCUCCCCUUCUGCAGAUGCGACGUUUUCUGGCCGUGCCCACAAGUCUUGCGGUCAAGAAAGUUUCAGGAACUCUUGUUAGUUCAUCUCUGGCUGUGGUAGGUUUAUCUGAAUCGUGAGACUAGUAGGUUUAUCUGAAUCGCGAGGCUAGCAGGUUUACCUGAAUCAUGAAGCAGUGAUGAAAUUAUGUGUGCAUCGGAUGUUGGAAAUCGAGCUUGUAAUGCAAUUUGUUACUCUUGAUGCAAAUGAAUGGUCUGGUCGUUACUUCUGUAGUUACGAUUUUAAACUGGUGAUUGUUGCGUUUCUCAUGCAACUGAAUCGUGUCAGCAAAAGUUGC
Molecule: long non-coding RNA, 358 nt
Filed under: Zea mays
Lineage: Eukaryota; Viridiplantae; Streptophyta; Magnoliopsida; Poales; Poaceae
Description: long non-coding RNA (ZMAY_LNC004973)
Source: RNAcentral